RNAcentral lists this long non-coding RNA (324 nucleotides) under Cricetulus griseus (Chinese hamster). Its description in RNAcentral is "lncRNA (ENSCGRG00015039532.1)". Lineage: Eukaryota; Metazoa; Chordata; Mammalia; Rodentia; Cricetidae. The record is from RNAcentral.
GGAAGCUGAUCCCCCCCCAUCUUGACCGCCCCCUCUGCCUUCGCCACCAAAACCGGACUCCGCCAAGUCCCGCUACCCUGGUACCAGUUAUGGGAUCCAAGAGAAUUCCGGAACCCAACCGGUCCAUUACCGCGGCUCCGGGCCCGCUGUAUGCAGUUCUUCCCUAAUUGUAUGUGGCCUGGUGAUCUCCAGAGGUGCUGGAAUGCAUAGAAGAUGGAAGGCUGCAGCUAAGGGGAAGUUGGUGCUGGGGAGACACUUUCCAGUGGGACAGCUGCUUUUAGGUCACCUGUGACUUCUGGCCUUGAACUCACAGAGAUCCCCUUG